AUUGAACGCUGGCGGCAUGCCUUACACAUGCAAGUCGAACGUGAAAGCGGGGCAACCCGCAAGUAGAGUGGCGGACGGGUGAGCAAUACAUCGGAACGUGUCCAGUAAUGGGGGAUAACCUAGCGAAAGUUAGGCUAAUACCGCAUACGAUCUACGGAUGAAAGCGGGGGAUGCGGCACUAAAGGCUUUUGGCGAAGGUGGCCAAAGGUGAGUCAAGAGCUUUUAGUGCUGCACCUCGCGUUAUUGGAGCGGCUGAUGUCUGAUUAGCUAGUUGGUGAGGUAAAGGCUUACCAAGGCGACGAUCAGUAGCUGGUCUGAGAGGACGGCCAGCCACACUGGGACUGAGACACGGCCCAGACUCCUACGGGAGGC
This 372-nucleotide ribosomal RNA is filed under the name uncultured bacterium. RNAcentral's name for it is "bacterial SSU rRNA". It matches the Rfam family "Bacterial small subunit ribosomal RNA", at positions 30 to 349 of the family's 1533-position model. The record is from RNAcentral.